Molecule: ribosomal RNA, 443 nt
Filed under: uncultured bacterium
Lineage: Bacteria
Description: partial 16S ribosomal RNA
Rfam family: Bacterial small subunit ribosomal RNA
Source: RNAcentral
CCUACGGGAGGCUGCAGUGGGGAAUAUUGCACAAUGGGGGAAACCCUGAUGCAGCGACGCCGCGUGAGUGAAGAAGUAUCUCGGUACGUAAAGCUCUAUCAGCAGGGAAGAAAGAAAUGACGGUACCUGAGUAAGAAGCCCCGGCUAACUACGUGCCAGCAGCCGCGGUAAUACGUAGGGGGCAAGCGUUAUCCGGAUUUACUGGGUGUAAAGGGAGCGUAGACGGUAAUGCAAGUCUGGAGUGAAAGGCGGGGGCCCAACCCCCGGACUGCUCUGGAAACUGUGUGACUGGAGUGCAGGAGAGGCAGGCGGAAUGCCUAGUGUAGCGGUGAAAUGCGUAGAUAUUAGGAGGAACACCAGUGGCGAAGGCGGCCUGCUGGACUGUAACUGACGUUGAGGCUCGAAAGCGUGGGGAGCAAACAGGAUUAGAUACCCUUGUAGUC